Molecule: ribosomal RNA, 2288 nt
Filed under: Escherichia coli
Lineage: Bacteria; Pseudomonadati; Pseudomonadota; Gammaproteobacteria; Enterobacterales; Enterobacteriaceae
Description: partial 23S ribosomal RNA
Rfam family: Bacterial large subunit ribosomal RNA
Source: RNAcentral
CGGGACACGUGGUAUCCUGUCUGAAUAUGGGGGGACCAUCCUCCAAGGCUAAAUACUCCUGACUGACCGAUAGUGAACCAGUACCGUGAGGGAAAGGCGAAAAGAACCCCGGCGAGGGGAGUGAAAAAGAACCUGAAACCGUGUACGUACAAGCAGUGGGAGCACGCUUAGGCGUGUGACUGCGUACCUUUUGUAUAAUGGGUCAGCGACUUAUAUUCUGUAGCAAGGUUAACCGAAUAGGGGAGCCGAAGGGAAACCGAGUCUUAACUGGGCGUUAAGUUGCAGGGUAUAGACCCGAAACCCGGUGAUCUAGCCAUGGGCAGGUUGAAGGUUGGGUAACACUAACUGGAGGACCGAACCGACUAAUGUUGAAAAAUUAGCGGAUGACUUGUGGCUGGGGGUGAAAGGCCAAUCAAACCGGGAGAUAGCUGGUUCUCCCCGAAAGCUAUUUAGGUAGCGCCUCGUGAAUUCAUCUCCGGGGGUAGAGCACUGUUUCGGCAAGGGGGUCAUCCCGACUUACCAACCCGAUGCAAACUGCGAAUACCGGAGAAUGUUAUCACGGGAGACACACGGCGGGUGCUAACGUCCGUCGUGAAGAGGGAAACAACCCAGACCGCCAGCUAAGGUCCCAAAGUCAUGGUUAAGUGGGAAACGAUGUGGGAAGGCCCAGACAGCCAGGAUGUUGGCUUAGAAGCAGCCAUCAUUUAAAGAAAGCGUAAUAGCUCACUGGUCGAGUCGGCCUGCGCGGAAGAUGUAACGGGGCUAAACCAUGCACCGAAGCUGCGGCAGCGACGCUGAUGCGUUGUUGGGUAGGGGAGCGUUCUGUAAGCCUGUGAAGGUGUGCUGUGAGGCAUGCUGGAGGUAUCAGAAGUGCGAAUGCUGACAUAAGUAACGAUAAAGCGGGUGAAAAGCCCGCUCGCCGGAAGACCAAGGGUUCCUGUCCAACGUUAAUCGGGGCAGGGUGAGUCGACCCCUAAGGCGAGGCCGAAAGGCGUAGUCGAUGGGAAACAGGUUAAUAUUCCUGUACUUGGUGUUACUGCGAAGGGGGGACGGAGAAGGCUAUGUUGGCCGGGCGACGGUUGUCCCGGUUUAAGCGUGUAGGCUGGUUUUCCAGGCAAAUCCGGAAAAUCAAGGCUGAGGCGUGAUGACGAGGCACUACGGUGCUGAAGCAACAAAUGCCCUGCUUCCAGGAAAAGCCUCUAAGCAUCAGGUAACAUCAAAUCGUACCCCAAACCGACACAGGUGGUCAGGUAGAGAAUACCAAGGCGCUUGAGAGAACUCGGGUGAAGGAACUAGGCAAAAUGGUGCCGUAACUUCGGGAGAAGGCACGCUGAUAUGUAGGUGAAGCGACUUGCUCGUGGAGCUGAAAUCAGUCGAAGAUACCAGCUGGCUGCAACUGUUUAUUAAAAACACAGCACUGUGCAAACACGAAAGUGGACGUAUACGGUGUGACGCCUGCCCGGUGCCGGAAGGUUAAUUGAUGGGGUCAGCGCAAGCGAAGCUCUUGAUCGAAGCCCCGGUAAACGGCGGCCGUAACUAUAACGGUCCUAAGGUAGCGAAAUUCCUUGUCGGGUAAGUUCCGACCUGCACGAAUGGCGUAAUGAUGGCCAGGCUGUCUCCACCCGAGACUCAGUGAAAUUGAACUCGCUGUGAAGAUGCAGUGUACCCGCGGCAAGACGGAAAGACCCCGUGAACCUUUACUAUAGCUUGACACUGAACAUUGAGCCUUGAUGUGUAGGAUAGGUGGGAGGCUUUGAAGUGUGGACGCCAGUCUGCAUGGAGCCGGCCUUGAAAUACCACCCUUUAAUGUUUGAUGUUCUAACGUUGACCCGUGAUCCGGGUUGCGGACAGUGUCUGGUGGGUAGUUUGACUGGGGCGGUCUCCUCCUAAAGAGUAACGGAGGAGCACGAAGGUUGGCUAAUCCUGGUCGGACAUCAGGAGGUUAGUGCAAUGGCAUAAGCCAGCUUGACUGCGAGCGUGACGGCGCGAGCAGGUGCGAAAGCAGGUCAUAGUGAUCCGGUGGUUCUGAAUGGAAGGGCCAUCGCUCAACGGAUAAAAGGUACUCCGGGGAUAACAGGCUGAUACCGCCCAAGAGUUCAUAUCGACGGCGGUGUUUGGCACCUCGAUGUCGGCUCAUCACAUCCUGGGGCUGAAGUAGGUCCCAAGGGUAUGGCUGUUCGCCAUUUAAAGUGGUACGCGAGCUGGGUUUAGAACGUCGUGAGACAGUUCGGUCCCUAUCUGCCGUGGGCGCUGGAGAACUGAGGGGGGCUGCUCCUAGUACGAGAGGA